RNAcentral lists this ribosomal RNA (1009 nucleotides) under uncultured Pedosphaera sp. Its description in RNAcentral is "bacterial SSU rRNA". It matches the Rfam family "Bacterial small subunit ribosomal RNA", at positions 494 to 1504 of the family's 1533-position model. Lineage: Bacteria; Pseudomonadati; Verrucomicrobiota; Pedosphaerae; Pedosphaerales; Pedosphaeraceae. The record is from RNAcentral.
CGGCUAACUCUGUUGCCAGCAGCCGCGGUAAUACAGAGGUCCCAAGCGUUGUUCGGAUUCACUGGCGUAAAGGGUGCGUAGGCGGUCGGGUAAGUCUGAUGUGAAAUCUCACAGCUUAACUGUGAAACUGCAUUGGAUACUAUUCCGCUUGAGGUCUGGAGGGGGGACUGGAAUUCUCGGUGUAGCAGUGAAAUGCGUAGAUAUCGAGAGGAACACCAGUAGCGAAGGCGAGUCCCUGGACAGGUCCUGACGCUGAGGCACGAAAGCUAGGGGAGCAAACAGGAUUAGAUACCCUGGUAGUCCUAGCCGUAAACGGUGCUUAUUUGCUGUAAAAGGAAUCGACCCCUUUUGUGGCGUAGCAAACGCGUUAAAUAAGCCGCCUGGGAAGUACGGUCGCAAGAUUAAAACUCAAAGAAAUUGACGGGGGCCUGCACAAGCGGUGGAGUAUGUGGCUUAAUUCGAUGCAACGCGAAGAACCUUACCUGGUCUUGACAUGCAAGUGGUAGAACCAUGAAAGUGGGACGACCCCGCAAGGGGAGCUUGCACAGGUGCUGCAUGGCUGUCGUCAGCUCGUGUCGUGAGAUGUUGGGUUAAGUCCCGCAACGAGCGCAACCCCUGUGUCCUGUUGCCACCCGGCCGAGAGGCUGGAGCACUCUGGACAGACUGCCUCGCUUCAACGAGGAGGAAGGUGGGGAUGACGUCAAGUCAGUAUGGCCCUUACGACCAGGGCUGCACACGUACUACAAUGCCCGGCACAAAGGGAAGCGAGACCGCAAGGUGGAGCAAAUCCCCAAAAACCGGGCCCAGUUCAGAUUGUUGUCUGCAACUCGACAGCAUGAAGCUGGAAUCGCUAGUAAUGGCGCAUCAGCUACGGCGCCGUGAAUACGUUCCCAGGCCUUGUACACACCGCCCGUCACAUCAUGAAAGCCGUUUGUACCCGAAGUCGCCCCUUAAAAGGUGCCGAAGGUAUGGAUGGUGAUUGGGAUGAAGUCGUAACAAGGUAGCCGUA